AAGUCGAGCGAACGGAUGAGAAGCUUGCUUCUCUGAUGUUAGCGGCGGACGGGUGAGUAACACGUGGAUAACCUACCUAUAAGACUGGGAUAACUUCGGGAAACCGGAGCUAAUACCGGAUAAUAUUUUGAACCGCAUGGUUCAAAAGUGAAAGACGGUCUUGCUGUCACUUAUAGAUGGAUCCGCGCUGCAUUAGCUAGUUGGUAAGGUACGGCUUACCAAGGCAACGAUGCAUAGCCGACCUGAGAGGGUGAUCGGCCACACUGGAACUGAGACACGGUCCAGACUCCUACGGGAGGCAGCAGUAGGGAAUCUUCCGCAAUGGGCGAAAGCCUGACGGAGCAACGCCGCGUGAGUGAUGAAGGUCCUUCGGAUCGUAAAACUCUGUUAUUAGGGAAGAACAUACGUGUAAGUAACUGUGCACAUCUUGACGGUACCUAAUCAGAAAGCCACGGCUAACUACGUGCCAGCAGCCGCGGUAAUACGUAGGUGGCAAGCGUUAUCCGGAAUUAUUGGGCGUAAAGCGCGCGUAGGCGGUUUUUUAAGUCUGAUGUGAAAGCCCACGGCUCAACCGUGGAGGGUCAUUGGAAACUGGAAAACUUGAGUGCAGAAGAGGAAAGUGGAAUUCCAUGUGUAGCGGUGAAAUGCGCAGAGACAUGGAGGAACACCAGUGGCGAAGGCGACUUUCUGGUCUGUAACUGACGCUGAUGUGCGAAAGC
Molecule: ribosomal RNA, 719 nt
Filed under: uncultured Staphylococcus sp.
Lineage: Bacteria; Bacillati; Bacillota; Bacilli; Caryophanales; Staphylococcaceae
Description: bacterial SSU rRNA
Rfam family: Bacterial small subunit ribosomal RNA
Source: RNAcentral